RNAcentral lists this ribosomal RNA (596 nucleotides) under uncultured bacterium. RNAcentral's name for it is "bacterial SSU rRNA". It matches the Rfam family "Bacterial small subunit ribosomal RNA", at positions 112 to 704 of the family's 1533-position model. The record is from RNAcentral.
AAUGCUUAGGAAUCUGCCUAUUAGUGGGGGACAACAUUCCGAAAGGAAUGCUAAUACCGCAUACGCCCUACGGGGGAAAGUAGGGGAUCUUCGGACCUUGCGCUAAUAGAUGAGCCUAAGUCAGAUUAGCUAGUUGGUGGGGUAAAGGCCUACCAAGGCGACGAUCUGUAGCGGGUCUGAGAGGAUGAUCCGCCACACUGGGACUGAGACACGGCCCAGACUCCUACGGGAGGCAGCAGUGGGGAAUAUUGGACAAUGGGCGAAAGCCUGAUCCAGCCAUGCCGCGUGUGUGAAGAAGGCCUUCGGGUUGUAAACUGCUUUUGUACGGAACGAAAAGCCCUGGGUUAAUACCCUGGGGUCAUGACGGUACCGUAAGAAUAAGCACCGGCUAACUACGUGCCAGCAGCCGCGGUAAUACGUAGGGUGCGAGCGUUAAUCGGAAUUACUGGGCGUAAAGCGUGCGCAGGCGGUUUUGUAAGACAGAGGUGAAAUCCCCGGGCUCAACCUGGGAACUGCCUUUGUGACUGCAAGGCUAGAGUACGGCAGAGGGGGAUGGAAUUCCGCGUGUAGCAGUGAAAUGCGUAGAUAUGCGGAGG